RNAcentral lists this ribosomal RNA (515 nucleotides) under uncultured bacterium. RNAcentral describes it as "partial 16S ribosomal RNA". It matches the Rfam family "Bacterial small subunit ribosomal RNA", at positions 28 to 523 of the family's 1533-position model. The record is from RNAcentral.
GAUGAACGCUGGCGGCGUGCCUAAUACAUGCAAGUCGAGCGAAUGGAUUAAGAGCUUGCUCUUAUGAAGUUAGCGGCGGACGGGUGAGUAACACGUGCGUAACCUGCCCAUAAGACUGGGAUAACUCCGGGAAACCGGGGCUAAUACCGGAUAACAUUUUGAACCGCAUGGUUCGAAAUUGAAAGGCGGCUUCGGCUGUCACUUAUGGAUGGACCCGCGUCGCAUUAGCUAGUUGGUGAGGUAACGGCUCACCAAGGCAACGAUGCGUAGCCGACCUGAGAGGGUGAUCGGCCACACUGGGACUGAGACACGGCCCUGACUCCUACGGGAGGCAGCAGUAGGGAAUCUUCCGCAAUGGACGAAAGUCUGACGGAGCAACGCCGCGUGAGUGAUGAAGGCUUUCGGGUCGUAAAACUCUGUUGUUAGGGAAGAACAAGUGCUAGUUGAAUAAGCUGGCACCUUGACGGUACCUAACCAGAAAGCCACGGCUAACUACGUGCCAGCCGCCGCGGUAA